Molecule: ribosomal RNA, 635 nt
Filed under: Staphylococcus aureus
Lineage: Bacteria; Bacillati; Bacillota; Bacilli; Caryophanales; Staphylococcaceae
Description: partial 23S ribosomal RNA
Rfam family: Bacterial large subunit ribosomal RNA
Source: RNAcentral
CUGGGAGGACCAUCUCCUAAGGCUAAAUACUCUCUAGUGACCGAUAGUGAACCAGUACCGUGAGGGAAAGGUGAAAAGCACCCCGGAAGGGGAGUGAAAUAGAACCUGAAACCGUGUGCUUACAAGUAGUCAGAGCCCGUUAAUGGGUGAUGGCGUGCCUUUUGUAGAAUGAACCGGCGAGUUACGAUUUGAUGCAAGGUUAAGCAGUAAAUGUGGAGCCGUAGCGAAAGCGAGUCUGAAUAGGGCGUUUAGUAUUUGGUCGUAGACCCGAAACCAGGUGAUCUACCCUUGGUCAGGUUGAAGUUCAGGUAACACUGAAUGGAGGACCGAACCGACUUACGUUGAAAAGUGAGCGGAUGAACUGAGGGUAGCGGAGAAAUUCCAAUCGAACCUGGAGAUAGCUGGUUCUCUCCGAAAUAGCUUUAGGGCUAGCCUCAAGUGAUGAUUAUUGGAGGUAGAGCACUGUUUGGACGAGGGGCCCCUCUCGGGUUACCGAAUUCAGACAAACUCCGAAUGCCAAUUAAUUUAACUUGGGAGUCAGAACAUGGGUGAUAAGGUCCGUGUUCGAAAGGGAAACAGCCCAGACCACCAGCUAAGGUCCCAAAAUAUAUGUUAAGUGGAAAAGGAUGUGGCGU